GUGCUCGCCUCGGCAGCACAUACACUGUAACUGAAACGACACAGAGAACAUUAGCACGGCCCCUGCGCAAGGAUGACAUGCAAAUGCGUGAAGCGUUCCGUUAAAAA
This is a small nuclear RNA of Camelus dromedarius (Arabian camel), 107 nucleotides long. NCBI's taxonomy places the organism in Eukaryota, Metazoa, Chordata, Mammalia, Artiodactyla, Camelidae. The record is from Ensembl.